RNAcentral lists this ribosomal RNA (1020 nucleotides) under uncultured bacterium. RNAcentral describes it as "partial 16S ribosomal RNA". The record is from RNAcentral.
UACUGUAUCUUCCCAAGUCAAGCUGAUUCGCGAGUCGAUCAACAGUUUUGAGAUGGCUAUAACUAAACAGCUUAUACAGGUCAUAGCAUGUUUCAUGAGAGCAACACGUCAUAGCUGUAUCCUGGAUACCAUCAUGCUGUCUAAUCCUGUUCGAUCCCCACGCUUUCGUGCCCGAGCGUCAAUGCAGGCCUGGCGAGCUGCCUCCGCUAUCGGCGUUCUGUGGCAUAUCUACGCAUUUCACCGCUACACGCCACGUUCCGCCCGCCUCGACCGCAUUCCAGCCCGACAGUAUCAACGGCACUUCCGGGGUUGGGCCCCGGGCUUUCACCGCUGACUUGACAGGCCGCCUGCGCACCCUUUAAACCCAAUGAAUCCGGAUAACGCUCGCGUCCUCCGUAUUACCGCGGCUGCUGGCACGGAGUUAGCCGACGCUUAUUCCCCCGGUACCCCUCAGCACCCAUCGCGUGGGCGCCCUUGUCCCCGGGGUAAAGAGGCUUACGACCCGUAGGGCCUUCAUACCUCACGCGGCAUGGCUGGUUCAGUCUUCCGACCAUUGACCAAUAUCCCUUACUGCCUGCCUCCCGCAGGAGUUUGGUCCGUGUCUCAGUACCAGUGUGGGGGACCGUCAUGUCAGAUCCCGUACCCAUCGUCGACCUGGUGGGCCGUCGCCCCGCCAACUAUUUAAUGGGACGCAUACAAAUCCCCCACCGCGUAUCUGCUUUGACCGAAAAGGGAUGCCCAUAUUCGCCCGCAUGUCGGCUUAUCCGGCGUUUCCACCGGAUAUCCGCCCGUCGGGGGUUGAUGGCAUACGCAUUACGCACCCCUCCGCCACUCUCUAUCCCCCGGAGGGGAUCAUACCCUUUGCCUACCAUGUAUUAGGGCGGUACCUCUAGCGUUCAUCUUGCGGCAAAAUCAAACUCUCCGGGUUUCCCCAGAUGUCCUUUACUAUAUCGGCCGCCAGGAACACAACUUAUGGGGUCCUUGCUUCGUCGACGCGACGGGCUGUGAUACUAUUGCUCG